Molecule: ribosomal RNA, 650 nt
Filed under: uncultured fungus
Lineage: Eukaryota; Fungi
Description: eukaryotic LSU rRNA
Rfam family: 5.8S ribosomal RNA (bases 269-422)
Source: RNAcentral
CUUGGUCAUUUAGAGGAAGUAAAAGUCGUAACAAGGUUUCCGUAGGUGAACCUGCGGAAGGAUCAUUAAUGAGUUUAGGGUCUUCGGGCCCGAACCUCCAACCCUUUGUCGUCAUAAUAAAACCCUUGUUGCUUCGGCGGGACUCGGGGGCCGCCCUCGCGGGCCGCGCCACCGAGCCGGGCUCUCACGGGCCCGGAUCGCUCCCGCCGGAGUCAAACCAAACUCUUGUUUAAACAGUAUCGUCUGAGUGAAUUGAUAAAUCAAUUAAAACUUUCAACAACGGAUCUCUUGGUUCUGGCAUCGAUGAAGAACGCAGCGAAAUGCGAUAAGUAAUGUGAAUUGCAGAAUUCAGUGAAUCAUCGAAUCUUUGGACGCACAUUGCGCCCCUUGGUAUUCCGAGGGGCAUGCCUGUUCGAGCGUCAUUACACCAAUCAAGCUAAGCUUGGUAUUGGGCCCUCGUCCCCCCUUCGCGGGGGGGUCGUGCCCCGAAACCUUCGGCGAAGUCACAUCGGCUUUGGGCGUAGUAGAAUUUCCACAACGUUCACGAGUCCGGCGAGGCCUUCUGCCGCGAAACAAACAAUUUUAUCAAAGGUUGACCUCGGAUCAGGUAGGGAUACCCGCUGAACUUAAGCAUAUCAAUAAGCGGAGGA